Molecule: ribosomal RNA, 367 nt
Filed under: uncultured bacterium
Lineage: Bacteria
Description: bacterial SSU rRNA
Rfam family: Bacterial small subunit ribosomal RNA
Source: RNAcentral
AUUGAACGCUGGCGGCAUGCCUUACACAUGCAAGUCGAACGGCAGCACGGGGCAACCUGGUGGCGAGUGGCGAACGGGUGAGUAAUGCAUCGGAACGUGCCAUUGAGUGGGGGAUAACGUAGCGAAAGUUGCGCUAAUACCGCAUAUUCUGUGAGCAGGAAAGCAGGGGACCGCAAGGCCUUGCGCUCUUUGAGCGGCCGAUGUCAGAUUAGCUAGUUGGUGAGGUAACGGCUUACCAAGGCGACGAUCUGUAGCGGGUCUGAGAGGAUGAUCCGCCACACUGGAACUGAGACACGGUCCAGACUCCUACGGGAGGCAGCAGUGGGGAAUUUUGGACAAUGGGCGCAAGCCUGAUCCUGAGUCGGAG